This 613-nucleotide unclassified non-coding RNA is filed under the name Hevea brasiliensis (rubber tree). Lineage: Eukaryota; Viridiplantae; Streptophyta; Magnoliopsida; Malpighiales; Euphorbiaceae. The record is from RNAcentral.
GGAUUAGGAAAUUUCCAUCAUAAAGAAAGUGUCAACAUUUUUCUUUUCCAGAUUUCUUUCCAUUACAAUACUUUAAUAGCCGGAGCAAGAAACAGAAAACUAUCCAUCACAAGGCAAGCAGGCUCAUAGAAGACUACGACAAAAGCACUUUAAUUAGAUAAAGAGAAAGAAUUUACCAAGCUAAAUGGGCGUAAUAUUAAAAGGUGGUUGAUAAAUCCUUUUCAAAUUGAGUAGGGUAUAUUGUUGAGGUCCAACCACGUUCUUUUCCUACCCGUGUAUUUACUGGAUCAAAAUUUAGGAAAAAAAAAUCUUCCAACAUGCUGUGCAAACUGUCCUGUUAAAAGAAUGUGCUAUUACUACAGAACAGAACCCCCUUCUUUUCCUUUUUGCAUCUUCCCAAACAAGACUUGAACCUACCUAAAGCAAUCUUUUGUCCUUCACCUUGAGCCAUAUAGCAAUUACAGUUCACUAUGGGACUUUCUUCUACAGCCUUUGUAAUGGAAGUUGUAUCCUAGUUUGAAUUUUUGGGCUGCCUUUUCUCUGAACUUCUUUAGAGAGAUUCACGCCUAGUCUCUAUCUGUAGGAUAUCUUUUGUUCUCAUAAUGAAUUAAAA